Long non-coding RNA from Oncorhynchus tshawytscha (Chinook salmon), 980 nucleotides. The record is from Ensembl. Lineage: Eukaryota; Metazoa; Chordata; Actinopteri; Salmoniformes; Salmonidae.
CCCCUCCUUCACUCCUUCCUGAGAGUACAUACUGUAUAUUGUAUAUAUACCAUAACACAUCUUACAGGCUCCAAACUAAUGUCUACUCAAAGUUCACAACUUAUCAGGACUAUUUAGAGUUGUACAUUCAAUGCUGAGUUUUCCUUCCUGUCUUUGUAGGCUACCCAGAGUAGGUUGCUGGGAACUGAGUGGGACCGUACGCAUGGCAGAGAGUUUCCAGAACUGACAGAAGCCAGGCAGUAGGCAUGACGUUUUACACACCCACAACAGAAACCUUCAGGACUGUCAAGAGUCCCGUGUAACUCAGCAAAUAGAGCCUGUGUACCUGGUAGAGCCUCUGUAGCUCAGUAGGUUGAGCCUGUGUCACUGGUAGAGCCCCUGUAGCUCAGUAGGUUGAGCCUGUGUAGCUCAGUAGGUAGAGUCUGUGUCGCUGGUAGAGCCCCUGUAGCUCAGUAGGUAGAGUCUGUGUAGCUCAGUAGGUAGAGUCUGUGUAGCUCAGUAGGUUGAGCCUGUGUUGCUCAGUAGGUAGAGCCUGUGUUGCUGGUAGAGCACCUGUGGCUCAGUAGGUAGAGUCUGUGUAGCUCAGUAGGUAGAGCCUGUGUCGCUGGUAGAGCCCCUGUAGCUCAGUAGGUUGAGCCUGUGUCGCUGGUAGAGCCCCUGUAGCUCAGUAGGUAGAGCCUGUGUAGCUCAGUCGGCAGAGUCUGUGUAGCUCAGUAGGUAGAGCCUGUGUCGCUGGUAGAGCCCCUGUAGCUCAGUAGGUUGAGCCUGUGUCGCUGGUAGAGCCCCUGUAGCUCAGUAAGUAGAGCCUGUGUAGCUCAGUAGGUAGAGUCUGUGUCGCUGGUAGAGCCCCUGUAGCUCAGUAGGUAGAGCCUGUGUAGCUCAGUAGGUAGAGUCUGUGUCGCUGGUAGAGCCCCUGUAGCUCAGUAGGUAGAGCCUGUGUAGCUCAGUCGGCAGAGUCUGUGUAGGUCAGUAGGUAGAGC